UGAGUACGAGAUGCUACGGCAUCGAAGCAGUCUAUGUCAUACUUCCAAGAAAAGCUUGCAAUGUCAUAAACAAAUAAUGCCUGUACCAUAACCGACACAGGUGGGUAGGUAGAGUAUACUAAGGGGCGCGAGAUAACUCUCUCUAAGGAACUCGGCAAAAUGACUCCGUAACUUCGGGAGAAGGAGUGCCUUAUUUUUAUAAGGUUGCAAUAACAAGAUCCAAGCAACUGUUUACCAAAAACACAGGUCUCCGCUAAGUCGUAAGACGAUGUAUGGGGGCUGACGCCUGCCCAGUGCCAGAAGGUUAAAGAAGUUGGUUAGCAUUAGCGAAGCUGAUAACUGAAGCCCUGGUGAACGGCGGCCGUAACAAUAACGGUCCUAAGGUAGCGAAAUUCCUUGUCGGGUAAGUUCCGACCCGCACGAAAGGCGUAAUGAUUUGGAUACUGUCUCGGAGAGGGGCUCGGUGAAAUAGACUUGUCUGUGAAGAUGCGGACUACCUGCACCUGGACAGAAAGACCCUAUGAAGCUUUACUGUAACUUGAGAUUGAAAUUGGACUUUAUCUGCGCAGUAUAGGUGGGAGACGUUGAAAAUAUUCUUGCGGGAAUAUUGGAGUCAUCAGUGAGAUACCACUCUUAUAAUGUUAGAUUUCUAACUUUGUAUCAUUAUCUGGUCAAAGAACAGUUUCAGGCGGGCAGUUUGACUGGGGCGGUCGCCUCCCAAACGGUAACGGAGGCGCACAAAGGUUUCCUCUGAACGUGUAGAAAUCGUAUCUAGAGUGUGAAGGCAUAAGGAAGCUUGACUGUGAGACCUACAAGUCGAGCAGGGACGAAAGUCGGUCUUAGUGAUCUGACGGUGCUGAGUGGAAAGGCCGUCACUCAACGGAUAAAAGUUACUCUAAGGAUAACAGGCUGAUCUCCCCCAAGAGUUCACAUCGACGGGGAGGUUUGGCACCUCGAUGUCGGCUCAUCGCAUCCUGGGGCGGUAGUACGUCCCAAGGGUUGGGCUGUUCGCCCAUGAAAGCGGUACGCGAGCUGGGUUCAGAACGUCGUGAGACAGUUCGGUCCAUAUCCGGUGUAGGCGUUAGAAUAUUGAGAGGAGCCUUCUUUAGUACGAGAGGACCGAGAAGGACAUACCUCUGGUGUACCAGUUAUCGUGCCAACGGUAAACGCUGGGUAGCCAUGUAUGGAGAGGAUAACCGCUGAAAGCAUCUAAGUGGGAAGCCCACCUCAAGAUAAGUAUUCU
RNAcentral lists this ribosomal RNA (1243 nucleotides) under metagenome. Its description in RNAcentral is "bacterial LSU rRNA". It matches the Rfam family "Bacterial large subunit ribosomal RNA", at positions 1564 to 2814 of the family's 2925-position model. The record is from RNAcentral.